Cynoglossus semilaevis (tongue sole) is the source of this 799-nucleotide non-coding RNA. Lineage: Eukaryota; Metazoa; Chordata; Actinopteri; Pleuronectiformes; Cynoglossidae. The record is from the annotation of a RefSeq genome assembly.
CAGGUCCUGCAGAGGGCGCUCUAACAUCACACAAUGUCCCACUCAAAUUCUCAUCUUAUUAAAUACUCUUUUCUCAGAGAAACGUAAGCUUCAGACUGUUCUAUCCCACGAUUUUUUUUUUUACACCUGCAGUAUGAAUAUAGCUCCGACAAUAACGCAGGUGUUUGGUGUAGAACUUUGACACCUCCCCUCUCUGUUUUACACUUACUGUGUUUACAUCCACUCCCUUCUAACGAAUGGAGAGAGGAGCUGCUGAUGUUGAAGAUGAUUUCUGUGCUCUUUAUUGUCUACUUUCUUCAGUUUCCGAACAGUGAAGGUGUCUCUGACACCAAAACUGUCAUCCAAACACCUGGCCACAUCGUGAAGAGGCCUGAGGAAUCCGUUGACAGGGAGAUCAACUGUUCACACAACAUUCCAAACCAUGACUACAUUCUCUGGUACAAACAGGAGGAAAACAAAUCCCUGAAGUACCUGGGGUUUCUCAACCGGAAAUAUGAGACCGUAGAGAGCGAUUUGUCGGGAAAAAUUCACAUCACUGGCGAUGGCAAUGAAAAGUCAGAGCUGACUAUUUAUAACUUGUUCUUGAACGACAGUGGUGUAUACUUCUGUGCAGCUCGUCAACACGGUGCUGCAGAAUCCCAGCCAGCCAAUACAAAAUACUCAAGUUAAAGUGAAAAAAAAAAAACAACAGGGUUUCAAACAGGAGCAGCUGCAAUCUUUUUAUCUGCUUCUUCUCUGAACUUCAACCUCAAAGCAGACGUGUUGAAGAAGCCGACCACAGUACACCACCCAGUUCAUA